Molecule: long non-coding RNA, 628 nt
Organism: Mauremys mutica (yellowpond turtle)
Lineage: Eukaryota; Metazoa; Chordata; Testudines; Geoemydidae
Exons: 3
Source: RefSeq, a predicted model, not a curated record
CACCACGCGGCUCUGAGCGGGACGGAGCUCAGGCCCUGCCGGCGACGCGCUCGGUGACUUGGCCUCAGGGCUGAGACACAGAAGACGUGGGGCCAGAGGCAGGUGGCAGCAGGAGGUGCUGGAGCUGAAGAUAGAGGCAACAUCCUGCAUGGAUGCAAGGGAGCACUCCAAGGGUGAGAGAGCCCCACCACAAGGAUACAUACAGGACUGGCCUCUCCGCUUAUGGCUGAAGUCAAUGGGACUACUUACAGAGUAAAGGUCGUACUCUGUGCCGGAGCAUCUCACUGACAUUCCAGCUUACUCAUGGCAUUUCUAGAAAAGCCCUGUUAUCCUGAUGUAUCCUUUCUAAAAUAUCCUGCAAGGACAGUGGAGCUACGUCAUUCCCAGAAGUAAUUGGACCUUCAGUUUCAAAGAGUUUCAUCUAAUUGUAAAAUAAUAGAAGUCAUGGACCAGAUAUGAGGUCUUGCUAAGUAACUGGGACAGCCAUGCUUCUAAACUUGGGUCCAGUUGUAGUUGCAUAUCAGCACUAGUGGCUGUUUUAAUCAGUUCUAAUUUCUGUGGUGAGACUAAGAGGCCAAUAAAAAUGACACAUGCUUGGGCUGCUAUAUUAUCCAGAGCCUCCAGAAAA